Molecule: unclassified non-coding RNA, 376 nt
Filed under: uncultured Thelephoraceae
Lineage: Eukaryota; Fungi; Basidiomycota; Agaricomycetes; Thelephorales; Thelephoraceae
Description: sequence contains ITS2
Rfam family: 5.8S ribosomal RNA (bases 1-155)
Source: RNAcentral
AACUUUUGACAACGGAUCACUUGGCUCUCGCAUCGAUGAAGAACGCAGCGACAUGCGAUAAGUAAUGUGAAUUGCAGAAUUCAGUGAAUCCUCGAAUCUUUGAACGCACCUUGCGCCCUUUGGCUAUUCCGAAGGGCAUGCCUGUUUGAGUAUCGUGAACACCUCAACUCUCAUGGUUCGCCAUGAUGAGCUUGGACUUUGGGGGUCUUGCUGGCCUGUGGUCGGCUCCUCUCAAAUGAAUCAGCUUGCCAGUGUUUGGUGGCAUCACAGGUGUGAUAACUAUCUACGCUUGUGGUCUCCCACCAGAUAACCUUCAGCAAUGGAGGUUCGCUGGAGCUCACAAAUGUCUCUCCUCGGUGAAGACAGCUUUUGAACG